Molecule: ribosomal RNA, 496 nt
Filed under: uncultured bacterium
Lineage: Bacteria
Description: partial 16S ribosomal RNA
Rfam family: Bacterial small subunit ribosomal RNA
Source: RNAcentral
AUGAACGCUGGCGGCGUGCCUAAUACAUGCAAGUCGCGCGAACGGACGAGAAGCUUGCUUCUCUGAUGUUAGCAGCGGACGGGUGAGUAACACGUGGAUAACCUACCUAUAAGACUGGGAUAACUUCGGGAAACCGUAGCUAAUACCGGAUAAUAUUUUGAACCGCAUGGUUCAAAAGUGAAAGACGGUCUUGCUGUCACUUAUAGAUGGAUCCGCGCUGCAUUAGCUAGUUGGUAAGGUAACGGCUUACCAAGGCAACGAUGCAUAGCCGACCUGAGAGGGUGAUCGGCCACACUGGAACUGAGACACGGUCCAGACUCCUACGGGAGGCAGCAGUAGGGAAUCUUCCGCAAUGGGCGAAAGCCUGACGGAGCAACGCCGCGUGAGUGAUGAAGGUCUUCGGAUCGUAAAACUCUGUUAUUAGGGAAGAACAUAUGUGUAAGUAACUGUGCACAUCUUGACGGUACCUAAUCAGAAAGCCACGGCUAACUACGUG